This 158-nucleotide ribosomal RNA is filed under the name Xanthoparmelia lineola. RNAcentral's name for it is "5.8S ribosomal RNA". It matches the Rfam family "5.8S ribosomal RNA". From Rfam's summary of the family: 5.8S ribosomal RNA (5.8S rRNA) is a component of the large subunit of the eukaryotic ribosome. The record is from RNAcentral. Lineage: Eukaryota; Fungi; Ascomycota; Lecanoromycetes; Lecanorales; Parmeliaceae.
AAAACUUUCAACAACGGAUCUCUUGGUUCCAGCAUCGAUGAAGAACGCAGCGAAAUGCGAUAAGUAAUGUGAAUUGCAGAAUUCAGUGAAUCAUCGAAUCUUUGAACGCACAUUGCGCCCUUCGGCAUUCCGGGGGGCAUGCCUGUUCGAGCGUCAUU